GCCAGCCUGGAUUAGUGGUUUGAGUGUUGGACUAUGACUCUGGAGACCAGGGUUCGAAUCCCAGCUCAGCCU
Non-coding RNA from Phrynosoma platyrhinos (Desert horned lizard), 72 nucleotides. The record is from the annotation of a GenBank genome assembly. NCBI's taxonomy places the organism in Eukaryota, Metazoa, Chordata, Lepidosauria, Squamata, Phrynosomatidae.